Rhipicephalus microplus (southern cattle tick) is the source of this 1285-nucleotide long non-coding RNA. NCBI's taxonomy places the organism in Eukaryota, Metazoa, Arthropoda, Arachnida, Ixodida, Ixodidae. The record is from RefSeq and is a predicted model, not a curated record.
GGAGAGGCGAUGCGAGACGUGCCUCCACUGUCGGCCGUGCUUCGAUGGCGCCAGAGGCAAGGACGACUGGAAGCACUACGAGUGCACAGCAGAGAAUCCUCUUGGCGCUAGCUCCAGUAGACCGGUGGGGCUCAUACUGCUUGAGAAACAAGGUAAGGCAACCAUGUCAACAGCCCUGGCGGCAGCUCUGCUUCUCUUGCUCGCUCUUCUGCUGUUUCUCGUGGCUUUCUUCUGCAUCCUGGCGUGGAACAGACGACGCCUAUGGCUGCGAGGACUGCGUGGACGAGCCAGAGGGCCACAACGCGCGGGAAGUGCUGCGCGCGGCCUCGUACAGUGGGGCGUCUGCGUCCUGCGAACACGCUGAGGCACACAAGCCGGCAUAGAGUGGACAUCUACAGCUUUGCAAAGUCGAGACGAUAUUUUUCACUCAAUCCGAGAUCAAAAGCAUAUUUAACCUUGCGAUUUUUUUCGACCAAUUAGUCGGUGCAAUACGAAAAUAUGAAACCUUCUAGAACCAUCGCAGUUUGGAACGAAUGCCAUGCCCUAUUUGUAGGAGUAGAGAGAGGGCUUGUCUGUUUCUUCUGAUAGAUGUAGUUUUCCUAAAAUAAGUGUGGCCAAGUGGUGCACUAUAAAAGCAGGCCAGUAGACUUCUGAGGCGCCCCUUGGUCUUAGUACUAUAUGCACAUUAUUUAAACAAAUCGAUGACGGUGAAGACUGCACGCUAAGUUUUCAAUUUUACGUAUAUAAAUCAAUCACAGAUGACGUUAUUAACUCUAGCAGGCGUAUUGGCGUAGUUGUGGCAAUUUAAUGACACGGCUGAUAAAUGCUCUAUCUUGAAAAGAAAACAUUCUCCCUUUCCUAAUGCCAAUAAGCACGCAGCAUUAUUUUCUAUAUAAGGUCAACGUUUGUGUUUUUUUAAUUCUUUUGAAUAAAUGUUAGCCCAUGCUUUCUCGUUAGUCUUUUUUCUCACUUUCCGAACUCUUCCCUGUAGGAGUUACUCAGUUUUUCGCCUUCGAACUUUUUUUUUUUGGACCUUCAACACACAUUGGUGUAAGAACUGUCGCUAUAUUCUAUUGACUCGCCCUAUUCGUACGGUUUUCAUUAGCCCUACACAGCGAAAAAUACUGAAUGCAUUUCUUAUUGCGGCACCAUUUUAAUUAAACAGCCUUAUAAAUCUCGUUUCGCAGGAGUUCCAGCGUCGGCGUCGUUGAUUGUGAGCAAUAAAUGAUCAUCUUUGCGUGAACUAAAAAUCUGUAAAUACGCAAAUAAAAUAUAUAAUGAAACA